Molecule: unclassified non-coding RNA, 1455 nt
Filed under: Hevea brasiliensis (rubber tree)
Lineage: Eukaryota; Viridiplantae; Streptophyta; Magnoliopsida; Malpighiales; Euphorbiaceae
Source: RNAcentral
AUGGUCUGUUAGUAUCCUUCCUGAUUGUCAAAAUGUAGCUUAUAAUACUGCCAAGGUGAAAACACAAACUUCAGUAAUGAUAAAGAAAAAGAACCAAGCUGAAGAUGAACCCUCUUCUCUUAAAUGGUCAUGGAGGCCAGAGAACACUGAUAGAACUGUAAUUUUGGGGAAGGGGCAUAUUCAAACUAGCCAACUUCUUGAUCAAAAAGCUGCAGCUAAUGAUGCUAGUGAUUAUCUUUGGUAUAUGACAAGUGUGCACCUUAAGAAAGAUGAUCCAAUUUGGAGCCGUGAUAUGUCUCUUAGAGUGAAUGGCAGUGGUCAGAUUCUUCAUGCAUAUGUUAAUGGAAAAUAUCUUGGUUCUCAAUGGGCAAAAUAUGGCGUUUUCAGUGAUGUCUUUGAAAAGAAUAUCAAGUUGAAAUUAGGGCAUAACCACAUCAGUUUACUCAGUUCAACAGUUGGAUUAGCGAACUAUGGUCCUAAGUACGAUUUGAUAAAAACUGGAAUUCCAGGUCCAGUGGAGUUGGUUGGUCGUAAAGGUGAUGAGAGCAUUAUAAAAGAUCUUUCUGCACAUAAAUGGUCGUACAAAGUUGGAUUGCAUGGCUUGGAAAAUAAACUCUACAGCUUGGAUUCACCACAAGCUUCCAAAUGGCAAGAACAUGAUCUUCCCACAGACAGGAUGAUGACUUGGUACAAGACUACCUUCAAAGCUCCACUAGGAAAAGAUCCAGUUGUGUUAGAUAUGGAUGGUAUGGGGAAGGGUUUUGCUUGGGUAAAUGGUCAUAACAUUGGAAGAUAUUGGCCAAGUUUCCUUGCUGAGGAGGAUGGUUGUAGCACUGAGGCAUGUGAUUACAGGGGUCCAUAUGAUAACAACAAAUGUGUCACUAAUUGCGGGAAGCCAACGCAAAGAUGGUAUCAUGUUCCUCGUUCUUUCAUGGAAAAUGAUGUGAAUACCUUAAUUCUAUUUGAAGAAUUUGGUGGCAAUCCAGCAAGAGUAAAUUUUCAAACUAUUACAGUUGGAUCAGUAAGUGGAAGUGGUAUUGAAGGAGAUACAGUUGAAUUGUCUUGUCAAGGCCAACCAAUUUCAGCAAUUGAAUUUGCCAGUUUUGGUGACCCUCAAGGGACAACAGGUUCCUUUGUCAAAGGAACUUGUGAAUCAAAAGAUGCAUUAUCAAUCAUUCAAAAGGUAAUUAUCAUUCAAAUCCAAAUUAAUUAGUAUGGAAUAUUAUACAUUCAAUCACCUUCACCCCUCCAUUAAUGGUUUUUGCAGGCAUGUGUUGGCAAGGAGACCUGCAAAAUUGAAGUCUCUAAAGGCGUACUUGGAUCCACAAAUUGUGACAGUAGCAUUGUGAAUACUCUAAUUGUGGAAGCUCUGUGUUAAUUAGUAGUAGGUUUUUUAGCGGUGAUAAUUUCAAUUUUGUUCUCUAUCGAGUGAUUAAGAUAAAUUCUAAAUGAAUU